RNAcentral lists this ribosomal RNA (263 nucleotides) under uncultured archaeon. RNAcentral describes it as "partial 16S ribosomal RNA". It matches the Rfam family "Archaeal small subunit ribosomal RNA", at positions 718 to 982 of the family's 1478-position model. The record is from RNAcentral.
AGUCACUGACAUUAGAUACCCCCGUAGUCCAGGGUGUAAACGCUGCAGACUUGGUGUUGGGGCCCUUUGGGGGCAUUCAGUGCCGGAGAGAAGUUGUUAAGUCUGCUACUUGGGAGUACGUCCGCAAGGAUGAAACUUAAAGGAAUUGGCGGGGGAGCACCGCAACGGGAGGAGCGUGCGGUUUAAUUGGAUUCAACACCGUAAAACUCACCAGGGAAGACUGUUACAUGAAGGCCGAGAUGAAGACUCUGCUAGAUUUUCAG